This is a long non-coding RNA of Bradysia coprophila, 155 nucleotides long. NCBI's taxonomy places the organism in Eukaryota, Metazoa, Arthropoda, Insecta, Diptera, Sciaridae. The record is from RefSeq and is a predicted model, not a curated record.
ACUAACAAAAAUGUCAUCGCCUACAUGUGUUGGUGUAAAAUUCUACGUAAAAUCGUACGAAAUAUUCAUCUUAUACAAACUGAUGUUGGGGACAUAAUUUACCGUACGAAAUACCACUCUAGGUAUGGUUACUCUAAGAUUUUUUCACGAAAAAA